This 524-nucleotide ribosomal RNA is filed under the name uncultured bacterium. Its description in RNAcentral is "bacterial SSU rRNA". It matches the Rfam family "Bacterial small subunit ribosomal RNA", at positions 368 to 883 of the family's 1533-position model. The record is from RNAcentral.
ACAAUGGGGGGAACCCUGAUCCAGCCAUGCCGCGUGUGUGAAGAAGGCCUUUUGGUUGUAAAGCACUUUAAGCGAGGAGGAGGCUACUGGUAUUAAUACUACCGGAUAGUGGACGUUACUCGCAGAAUAAGCACCGGCUAACUCUGUGCCAGCAGCCGCGGUAAUACAGAGGGUGCGAGCGUUAAUCGGAUUUACUGGGCGUAAAGCGUGCGUAGGCGGCUUUUUAAGUCGGAUGUGAAAUCCCUGAGCUUAACUUAGGAAUUGCAUUCGAUACUGGGAGGCUAGAGUAUGGGAGAGGAUGGUAGAAUUCCAGGUGUAGCGGUGAAAUGCGUAGAGAUCUGGAGGAAUACCGAUGGCGAAGGCAGCCAUCUGGCCUAAUACUGACGCUGAGGUACGAAAGCAUGGGGAGCAAACAGGAUCAGAUACCCUGGUAGUCCAUGCCGUAAACGAUGUCUACUAGCCGUUGGGGCCUUUGAGGCUUUAGUGGCGCAGCUAACGCGAUAAGUAGACCGCCUGGGGAGUAC